This 339-nucleotide ribosomal RNA is filed under the name Triticum aestivum (bread wheat). RNAcentral describes it as "partial small subunit ribosomal RNA". Lineage: Eukaryota; Viridiplantae; Streptophyta; Magnoliopsida; Poales; Poaceae. The record is from RNAcentral.
AUGGAAGGGCAGCAGCGGCCUGUGGGGCGUCGACUGGAAUGGCAGCGACCUCCAUGGAAGAGAAGGGCCCGGCAGGCUCGUGCACGCGGGAGAAGCUGGGGGCGCUCGUCGAUUGGGCAGAUGGCGGCCAUCCAAGUUUCUUCAAUCGAUCUGGACAUGGUCAUGGCAGCUACGCAAAGGGUGAAGGCGAGCGACCCUCUGGAGCCGCGUACGUCGAGAGGUAGCAGCCGUGCCCCUCCUCCUUCCCUUCUCUUCUCCCCUCCUCCUCUCCAAUCUAGCCUGCCGUCCUCAGCAUCUUCCUCUUCCAUUUUUUACUCCUUUGAUUUUCUGAUUCUCUAA